This 147-nucleotide microRNA precursor is filed under the name Pelobates cultripes (western spadefoot toad). Lineage: Eukaryota; Metazoa; Chordata; Amphibia; Anura; Pelobatidae. The record is from RNAcentral.
AAUUGUAAAGAAAAGAGAAGGGGUGAAGGGCUGCGCUGAGUACAGAUAAAUAAAAUAUAAAAUAUAUAAAAUAAUGGUAGAAUAUAUUUUAUAUUUUAUUUAUCUGUAUUCAGCGCAGCCCUUCACCCCUUCUCUUUUCUUUACAAA